AUUGAACGCUGGCGGCAUGCUUUACACAUGCAAGUCGAACGGCAGCGCGGGCUUCGGCCUGGCGGCGAGUGGCGAACGGGUGAGUAAUGCAUCGGAACGUGCCCAGUAGUGGGGGAUAGCCCGGCGAAAGCCGGAUUAAUACCGCAUACGACCUGAGGGUGAAAGCGGGGGACCGAAAGGCCUCGCGCUAUUGGAGCGGCCGAUGUCGGAUUAGCUAGUUGGUGGGGUAAAGGCUUACCAAGGCGACGAUCCGUAGCUGGUCUGAGAGGACGACCAGCCACACUGGGACUGAGACACGGCCCAGACUCCUACGGGAGGCAGCAGUGGGGAAUUUUGGACAAUGGGGGCAACCCUGAUCCAGCCAUGCCGCGUGCGGGAAGAAGGCCUUCGGGUUGUAAACCGCUUUUGUUCGGGAAGAAAUCCUCUGGGCUAAUACCCCGGGGGGAGGACGGUACCGGAAGAAUAAGCACCGGCUAACUACGG
This 483-nucleotide ribosomal RNA is filed under the name uncultured bacterium. RNAcentral's name for it is "partial 16S ribosomal RNA". It matches the Rfam family "Bacterial small subunit ribosomal RNA", at positions 28 to 506 of the family's 1533-position model. The record is from RNAcentral.